CCUACGGGAGGCAGCAGUGAGGAAUAUUGGUCAAUGGGCUUACGCCUGAACCAGCCAAGUCGCGUGAGGGAAGACUGCCCUAUGGGUUGUAAACCUCUUUUGUCAGGGAGCAACGCCGGCUACGUGUAGCCGGACUGAGAGUACCUGAAGAAAAAGCAUCGGCUAACUCCGUGCCAGCAGCCGCGGUAAUACGGAGGAUGCGAGCGUUAUCCGGAUUUAUUGGGUUUAAAGGGUGCGCAGGCGGAUUUUUAAGUCAGCGGUCAAAUCGUGGGGCUCAACCCCAUCCAGCCGUUGAAACUGGGGAUCUAGAGUGUGCGAGAGGUAUGCGGAAUGCGUGGUGUAGCGGUGAAAUGCAUAGAUAUCACGCAGAACCCCGAUUGCGAAGGCAGCAUACCGGUGCACAACUGACGCUCAGGCACGAAAGCGUGGGUAUCGAACAGGAUUAGAUACCCUAGUAGUC
RNAcentral lists this ribosomal RNA (460 nucleotides) under uncultured bacterium. RNAcentral describes it as "partial 16S ribosomal RNA". It matches the Rfam family "Bacterial small subunit ribosomal RNA", at positions 338 to 795 of the family's 1533-position model. The record is from RNAcentral.